RNAcentral lists this ribosomal RNA (484 nucleotides) under uncultured bacterium. RNAcentral describes it as "partial 16S ribosomal RNA". It matches the Rfam family "Bacterial small subunit ribosomal RNA", at positions 30 to 507 of the family's 1533-position model. The record is from RNAcentral.
AUUGAACGCUGGCGGCAGGCCUAACACAUGCAAGUCGAGCGGAUGAAGGGAGCUUGCUCCUGGAUUCAGUGGCGGACGGGUGAGUAAUGCCUAGGAAUCUGCCUGGUAGUGGGGGAUAACGUCCGGAAACGGGCGCUAAUACCGCAUACGUCCUGAGGGAGAAAGUGGGGGAUCUUCGGACCUCACGCUAUCAGAUGAGCCUAGGUCGGAUUAGCUAGUUGGUGGGGUAAAGGCCUACCAAGGCGACGAUCCGUAACUGGUCUGAGAGGAUGAUCAGUCACACUGGAACUGAGACACGGUCCAGACUCCUACGGGAGGCAGCAGUGGGGAAUAUUGGACAAUGGGCGAAAGCCUGAUCCAGCCAUGCCGCGUGUGUGAAGAAGGCCUUCGGAUUGUAAAGCACUUUAAGUUGGGAGGAAGGGCAGUAAGUUAAUACCUUGCUGUUUUGACGUUACCAACAGAAUAAGCACCGGCUAACUUCGUG